Long non-coding RNA from Dermochelys coriacea (leatherback sea turtle), 2359 nucleotides. RefSeq lists it as uncharacterized. The transcript has 3 exons. The record is from RefSeq and is a predicted model, not a curated record. NCBI's taxonomy places the organism in Eukaryota, Metazoa, Chordata, Testudines, Dermochelyidae.
UCCCGACCACUCCCCCCCACACCCAUGCACUUUUUUAACUAAAGGUGGGACUGCACCAACCCUUUCUCCCUCUAUUCUCUAGACAGAGCCAGCCCCCAGACUCUGGUUAAGUUCAGAACCUACAUCAAGAUCUGCAGCCCAAACUUUGCCGGCUCAGGCCUGGUGACUAUUUUAAACUUAGGAUAAAGGAGAUUUUAAAAAGCAGCAAUGAAAACAUUUUCUAAACAUGUUUGCAAUCCAAUCAGCCCCUUGGUAAUUUGAUUUGUAGGAAAUGGCAAGUGAGGCACUGCAAGCAGAGGACUGAAGGUACUGAGGUCACUGGGAGUUUUGCCAAGGGCUUCAGUGGGAGCAGGAUUUAGCCCAGAUACCAAGGAAUGAAAGACCCUCCUAGACCAGUGAAUUUGUCAGUUCUCAACAGUAAAGGAAGGUAAGGAGAGUGUUGAAUAUGAGCCCACGAGAAAGGGAAGGAGGAAGAACCAGAAGCCCUGGAAACAACCACAAUGAUAACCUGAACUUUCAAAUGUCUUUCCCUGGAAAGAAGAAUCGAGAGCUAAACAACAUCCCGGCAACGCCUGCAUCCUCUCAAAAAUGUCAAAGCCAGGGGGAUUUUUUUUUUGGCUACUCGAAUCCUGUGUUUAGCAGCAAGUUAAUGUCACAAGGCUUUGGCUAAUACCAGUGCUGCCCCCCUCUAAUUUCCAUAUCUGAGUGGCAGAUCCCUGGAAUCUGCCUUCUGCCUUUAGCCUGACCUCAGCCUACAAACGCAAACUAUAUUUAACAUGUCGAUUGUAAUGAAAUGUGCGUUUGAGUCGUGUCCCCACCCCAUCCACCUCCUCGCUGUGUUUUAAAGGCAGGAUGCUGUCAGAUGGUAACAGGUUUGUUCAGAGACACCCGCGCGCGCGCACACAGACAUAUGACAGUUUUAUUCUGAAAUCCUGAUUGAAGACAGAAACACUCCCUGGGCUAAAGUCAGCCAUCGCAGCUCCUAUUGGCUUCAAUGGGAGAUGAUUCCCCCUUUACACUGGAGCUGAAUUUGGCCCUUUGUUUGGACAGAUACUUGUCUUCUGUUAAUAACACUUCCUUUUGUCACCCUUUCCUCUGUUGGGCUUGCAACAAUCAGAUGUCCCUGGAGGAAUGUUGGCACUUGCAGCUAUAGGGUGUUUUGCUUUUCAGAGCUUCACCCUAAACUCAAAACCAGCUGCAUCAGAACCAAUCUGGGCUCCCCUUCCCUCCAAUGAAAACCCCCAUAUGAUUACACCACAAACCUGUGUCAGGUCUUUCAACAAACAGGCUCUUUGAUUUCUCUACCAUCCCUUUAGUUGUGGUGAUCCGAGUAUUCUAAACUUGGAAACAUCUACCCAGGGUCAGGCUUAGGGUGGACAUGAAUUCAAGCCACAGACCUGAUACUCUGAAAACAACAAGCUUUCAAAACAUCCGAUUUAAAAAAUAAUAAUAAUUACAGCCUAAACAUGCUUUCCAAAACUUGUUGGCAUCCUAAAGCUUCUAGGAUAAUCAGAAGCUCAGGAUGGCCUUUCAUCCACUCUAGAUACUGCUAUGAAGAAUAGAUUUGCAGUUUAUAAUCUUUGUUGUGCAGAUUUUAAAACUGCAGCAUUAUAGCCUGGUAGGAGGUUCAGUCCCAUAGUCCAGGGACUGCUGGUCUUCCCCUUUGGAGACCUGCUUCCACAUCUGCUCCAGGCCUUAACUGCAAUGAGUUUUUGUGAUCUCAGCCUAGUCUGUCCUGUACAUCUGUCCACAUAAAAAAUCCCAGCCAUGACAUUUGUCAUGACUGCUUGUCACCAGGCCUGGUAGCAAAACACAGAGGGUGCUGCAUAUCAGGACUGAAGGGACUGGCACAGCUAUAAAGAGGAUGGAGGGCUAGGAGAGCAGAGGAUGCUGCAGGUUAGAACCAAGGGGCGUUGGAUUAUUUAUGUGACACAGCUUUUCCUUGCUACCCUCAGUCAGGGGAGCCUGGGACUAGAAUAAGGGUUUGGCAGGCUGGGGCUGAGGUGGAUGGGCAGAGCAGGGGGACAAGGGGAGCCCUGGGUACCUCCCACACAACCACCACUUGGCUGUCCCCAGCACUAUCAUUCCUUCAUUUCCAAUUCCCUAAAUCAAAUUCCCACAAAUCCGGAAAGGGGAAGUGGGGUGAGAAUCCAACUUCUCCAUUUACCCUAUUGUAAGAAGAUGACUGUGUAUAUCAUUCAUGUACACUGAAAUAUCAUUGUCUAGGAGAGCCCCACACAUGAGCAAUCAGAAGGCUAUAAUUGCAGACAUAAGUUUGACAAUAAACAGUUUUACUGGUAUCUAUUGAAUGCAUUCCCAUUAUACGCAUGGUGCUGUACAGUAAAUGUCUAUAACCGUC